This 360-nucleotide transfer RNA is filed under the name uncultured Microcystis sp. RNAcentral describes it as "partial 16S-23S ribosomal RNA intergenic spacer". The stretch from base 136 to 209 matches the Rfam family "tRNA". The record is from RNAcentral. Lineage: Bacteria; Bacillati; Cyanobacteriota; Cyanophyceae; Chroococcales; Microcystaceae.
AAAGGGAGACCUAAUUCCGGUAGGAGACGAAAAAAAAGUAGUCCCUACCAAGAAUCAAUCCCAAAAGGUCGAAGCGAGGCAAGAUUGGCUUUCAAACUAGGUUCUGGGUUCAAACAAGACCUGAAUCAGGAACAAGGGCUAUUAGCUCAGGUGGUUAGAGCGCACCCCUGAUAAGGGUGAGGUCCCUGGUUCGAGUCCAGGAUGGCCCACCUGCACAGGUGGCAAAAACAAAGAAGCGAGGAAUCAGCACCUUAUCUUACUCAUAUAGUAAGAGAGAAUGCUGGCUCUGAGUAAAGAGUCCAGAGGAACCUUGAAAACUGCAUAGAGCUAGGUGAAAAAGCCAAAAAAGAAGACCGCAAG